Non-coding RNA from Aegilops tauschii subsp. strangulata, 2444 nucleotides. NCBI's taxonomy places the organism in Eukaryota, Viridiplantae, Streptophyta, Magnoliopsida, Poales, Poaceae. The record is from RefSeq and is a predicted model, not a curated record.
UCUCCUUCCCCGAUCCAGUUCCCUCUCUUUCUAGCCCUGUUCGUUCCCCAAAUCCAGCGGUGAGAGGCAACCGCUGUCGUGACGCAGCCGAAGACGGGGGGCAGGGAAGGGGAAGGGCUGGAGCACGGCGGGGAUCCGCUUCUCGUCGCCGGCGCAGACCAAAAAUGGUUCUAGAAGGAGAUGUGAUUCCAAGUGAAGGAGAGGGGUCUACAAACCAUUCUUCUCGACGGAACUCGAAACGGCCGUCGAGCGGCAGCCGUGUCGUGCUGAUAUCGACGGGAAGGCAAAGGAUGAUGAGGUCGGUGAUCAAUUCCACUUUGUGAAACGGCCGGAAUGGAAGGCGACCAUGCAUGUGGGAGUUGUAGCUGGAGCUAGCAUAUCGUAGACCAAAAUGGCUGGAGAAGGAGAUGUGGCUGACAAUGAAACAGAGGGUUCUGCAAAUCCCAUCUCACGACGGAACUCAAAAAGGGCUGGUAAGCGGCAGCCGCGUGGCGAUGAUAAGGACGGGGAUGGAGAGGGUGACGAUAACUUUAGGGUGGCGAAAGAUUCCUCUUAGUAAAACUGCAAAGAAGAAAGGGGCGCACGGAGGCAGUAUCCAAAGGGGUAGAUGCCACAUCUUCUGCAGCAGUCACUGAGAUAUUGUUCAAGGGAAUGAGAGUAAUGAAGCAGAUAAUGUUGAACGAUAGUCACAAGCUGGCUACCUGAUGGAGACUGCCUGGCUAGGACCCUUUCUUUCGUUGAGAAGAAGAAGGAGCCCUGUGGAGAAGGAAGUGUGGGCGAGGGGUGCGUGGAGGCUUCGGGAGUUAGUGGGCUAUCACGUGAUACCGUCCGGCCUUUGUUUUCUGAUUCUUCACGGAUUCUAGGAGUCGGAAUGAAGUUUCCUUUAUGGGAACAGUGGGGACAAAAAGUUACCUUUUUCGGCGGGCUGCUCACGAGCGCUAGCAGGCCAACGGCCGCUAGCCAGACGCGUCCCGAAAUUAAAGGUUUAUAGGUACAUGGCACUACAUCCUGUCUAUUUUUGCACAGGCACUACAUCCUGUCUAUUUUUGCAUAUGCAACUACUCCUUUUUUUGUUUAUAUGCGCACAUCCAGGCAAAAGUUGGCUUGGAUUCAUGUUUAGUUGCACAAAUAGAUGGUUUUUUGCACAGGCACUUCACCCUGUCUAUUUUUUGCACAUGGGUUGGUUUAUUUGCAUGCAUCCAGGCAAAAGUUGGCUUGGAUCCAUGUUUAGUUGCACAGGAAAGUGUUUUAUUGUGCAGAGAUCAGAUUCAACUCUAUUUGCUGCUUCAUGUUCCCUCUUCCUCCAACUAUGGAGAAGACCGGAGAAGAUUUGUGGCAGAUCCAGAGGGAAAGGGAAGGGGAAAGUGAAGAAGGAUGAUCUGAAGGCUAGAGGGAAGUUACCUGAUGUUGCUGCCUGCUAUGGCUCUGUACUCCCUCUUCUUGGAAUUGAAGCUUUUCUGGCCAAUUUCUUCACCUAGUUUUGCUCUGCCAUGGCAGCUCUGUAGGGUUUGGAUCCAGGCCAAGGAUCCCCUUCUUUCGUGGAGAAGAAGAAGGGCGACCCGUGGGGGGAGGAAGUGUGGGCGAGGUGUGCGUGGGAGGCUUGGGGAUGUAGUGGUUAUCACGUGACAACGAUGGGGGAGAUUUUCUGUUUGUUGGGAGUGUGGCCAGUCGGGUCGGAAGAAACUUUCCUUCCUGGGACCAAGGGGGACAGGAAGUUGCCUUUUAUGGUUGGCUGCUCGAUCGCGCUAGUGGGCAGCCGGCCGCCCACUAGACGCGUCGAUGAAUUUAACUCUAUAUAUUGAUCGGUGCGUCCCAGCCAUGGUCAUCGCUCAAUUCGUGUAAAAGUGACCCGUCGCGUUUCAGAGGGUUUAAGUCGAUCGAGAAAGCAGUAAAGGGUUAUUAGCCAAAAUGAGAGGGAGCGGCCGGAUGCAUGUGAUGGUCAUCUUGUUCGUGGGAUCUCUUGCGCUCGCUGCAGAGUGUCGUCUAGAGGCCGGAAGAAGGAGCCAUCUAGACGGUGGUGAUAACAACACAAGUAGUAACAGUGCUUCCCUGACCAACUCGAUAUCAUCAUUAGAUGAUGCCAGGUUUAGCCUGAUAUAUUGCCGCCGGGCUCGCUCUUGUAGCUCUGAUGACUGCUACUGCUGCCCUCUCCUAAAGCCCACAUUGUGUUUCAAGACGUUGGACGCGUGCAAGUCUAAAUGUCCUAAAUGCGAUCCCAAGUGCCCACCUGAAUCGACAAUGGAAUUACAUGCAUGAAAGCAUCAUGACAGGAUAAAGGAACAGUAAUAAUAAUUAUAUUUUCUAUUCUUAUCAAGUUAUCAUGCCUUUUCUCUUGGACUCUCUCACCUGAUAUGAAAAGAUCUCUACAAUUUUCCUACCAUAUCCUAUUUCCUCACUUCUGCCACUACUGUGAUAUCCUGAAGCCCGUGUCAUGUUUCAAGACG